Molecule: ribosomal RNA, 467 nt
Filed under: uncultured bacterium
Lineage: Bacteria
Description: partial 16S ribosomal RNA
Rfam family: Bacterial small subunit ribosomal RNA
Source: RNAcentral
GAUGAACGCUGGCGGCGUGCUUAACACAUGCAAGUCGAACGGUGAAGGCGGAGCUUGCUCUGCUGGAUCAGUGGCGAACGGGUGAGUAACACGUGAGCAAUCUGCCCCUGACUCUGGGAUAAGCGCUGGAAACGGCGUCUAAUACUGGAUACGAGCUGCGAAGGCAUCUUCAGCAGCUGGAAAGAACUUCGGUCAGGGAUGAGCUCGCGGCCUAUCAGCUUGUUGGUGAGGUAACGGCUCACCAAGGCGUCGACGGGUAGCCGGCCUGAGAGGGUGACCGGCCUCACUGGGACUGGGACACGGCCCAGACUCCUACGGGAGGCAGCAGUGGGGAAUAUUGCACAAGGGGCGAAAGCCUGAUGCAGCAACGCCGCGUGAGGGACGACGGCCUUCGGGUUGUAAACCUCUUUUAGCAGGGAAGAAGCGAAAGGGACGGUACCUGCAGAAAAAGCGCCGGCUAACUACGU